AUUGAACGCUGGCGGCAUGCCUUACACAUGCAAGUCGAACGGCAGCACGGGUGCUUGCCCCUGGUGGCGAGUGGCGCACGGGUGAGUAAUACAUCGGAACAUGUCCUGUAGUGGGGGAUAGCCCGGCGAAAGCCGGAUUAAUACCGCAUACGAUCUACGGAUAACAGCGGGGGCCCUUCGGGCCUCGCGCUUUAGGGUUGGCCGAUGGCUGAUUAGCUAGUUGGUGGGGUAAAGGCCUACCAAGGCGACGAUCAGUAGCUGGUCUGAGAGGAUGAUCAGCCACACUGGGACUGAGACACGGCCCAGACUCCUACGGGAGGCAGCAGUGGGGAAUUUUGGACAAUGGGCGAAAGCCUGAUCCAGCAAUGCCGCGUGUGUGAAGAAGGCCUUCGGGUUGUAAAGCACUUUUGUCCGGAAAGAAAUCCUUGGCACUAAUACGGUCGGGGGAUGACGGUACCGGAAGAAUAAGCACCGGCUAACUACGUG
RNAcentral lists this ribosomal RNA (486 nucleotides) under uncultured bacterium. RNAcentral's name for it is "partial 16S ribosomal RNA". It matches the Rfam family "Bacterial small subunit ribosomal RNA", at positions 30 to 507 of the family's 1533-position model. The record is from RNAcentral.